AUUAAAAUCUGCUUUCAAUUCAAAUGUGUUCCUAUCAAUAUGGCCCCCAAAGAGCUCAAAGCUAGCACAAGCACCCCUUAAGAAGUAACUGGUUACAUCCUGCAUACACCUUAUAAGAAAGAGAAGCUUAUAUAAAUGAAGACAUUUAGGAAAACUAAAUAAAUCACACUACUCAGAAAUUAAGAAAGCCUCUCUCUUUCAAGCUUUCAAUGAUGUUUUUAGCAGUAACCUCCAAAGGAGUGAAGUCCACACCCAAGUCUUUUGCCUUCUCUUUAGAUACCUCAUAUUUUGGCACAAAAGGCUUGUCAUCUACACAUUUUUCAGGAAGUGGUAGUGUCGGGUAGUGUUGGCGCAGAAUCUUAAAGAACUCAGACAAGUGUGCUACUUGUCCAACUAAACAGUAUCUGCCACUGGCUGAAGAUCUUUCAAAUGCUAGAAUAUGUGCAUUUGCAACAUCUCUAACAUCAACAGAUCUUAAAGUCUCAUUUGGAAAUGUUUGACCAGUUAUGUAGUUCAAAAUAAUCUUCAUAGUGACAUUCAGAGUUGGCUGGAAGACAGGACCAAUCACAAACCCUGGAUGUAUUGUAACCAAGUCAAUUCCAUUUUCAUUUGCAAAUUUCCAAGCAGCAUCCUCUGCUAAGGUUUUUGAUAGCCUAUACCAAUGCUUAUUUUCCUUGCAGAAAGCAGGAUCAGAAAACCAAGUCUCAUCAACUACCACAUCAGGGGUCAGAGGUGUUCCAUUGAACAGUACUGUUGCGAUAGAAGAAGUUACAACCACUCUCUUGAUAAAAGGGACUUUCGAACACGAUUUAAGAACGUUUAGUGUUCCCUUAACAGCAGGCUCAAGCAAUACAUUCUGUGGGUCAUCUGUUGAAAGAAUUACAGGAGAAGCUGUAUGAAAUACACCUUCACAUCCAUCAACUGCUGAAUCAAAAGUUCCUUCUUCCACUAAAUUUGCCUUGAACAACUGAAGUCUCUCUUUAGCUCCAUCGAGUGCAAGCAAAUGUUCUGUUUGCUUAGGAUCAUUGGGAUCAAGAACAGUAGCUUUAACUGUGUAACCUCGCUGGAGUAAGAGCUUGGCCAUGAAGCUAUAUAACCUGAUCCUCCAGUUACACACACCACCCUUCCUUCUCCACUCAUGAUGUCUCUUUCCUCUAUCCCUUAC
RNAcentral lists this unclassified non-coding RNA (1165 nucleotides) under Hevea brasiliensis (rubber tree). The record is from RNAcentral. Lineage: Eukaryota; Viridiplantae; Streptophyta; Magnoliopsida; Malpighiales; Euphorbiaceae.